Molecule: ribosomal RNA, 622 nt
Filed under: Podocorynoides minima
Lineage: Eukaryota; Metazoa; Cnidaria; Hydrozoa; Anthoathecata; Rathkeidae
Description: partial 16S ribosomal RNA
Rfam family: Bacterial large subunit ribosomal RNA
Source: RNAcentral
CCAAAAACAUAGCCCUUAAUAAAAAUUAAAGGUGUGACCUGCCCAAUGGUUUAAAAAUAAAUAAUUAUAAAAAGAUUAAAAUUAAACUUAAAGGACGCAGUAUCCUGACUGUGAUAAUGUAGCAUAAUCACUCGCCACUUAAUUGGUGGAUAGUAUGAAUGGUUAAACGAAUAUUACACUGUCUCCUUCAGAGAAAUUAUAAAAUUUAAAUAAUAGUAAAGAUGCUAUUUAAAACUGUAAGACGAAAAGACCCUAUAGAGCUUAACUAUAAUCUAUAUUAAUAAUUAUAAUUAAAGAUAAUUACUUUUAAACAUAUAGAAUGUUAGUUUAGUUGGGGCGACUAUCUUCUAAAAUAAACGAAGAUGAGCAAAGUUAAUUAAGAAACUUAUUGUAUAAAACAUAAAUUUAACAAUUAUAAUAAUAGGCUAUAAAGACCCAUUACUCUUAAUAAGAAGAUUAAUGAUCAACAAAUAAAAGCUACCUUAGGGAUAACAGGAUAAUUUUGUUUUAGAGAUCAAAUCAAAAACGAAGUUUGUCACCUCUAUGUUGAAUUAAGAUAUCCAGAUAAUGCAGAAGUUAUCAAAGGUAGGUCUGUUCGACCUCUAAGAUCUUACAUGAUUUG